Long non-coding RNA from Hemibagrus wyckioides, 372 nucleotides. RefSeq lists it as uncharacterized. The transcript has 2 exons. Lineage: Eukaryota; Metazoa; Chordata; Actinopteri; Siluriformes; Bagridae. The record is from RefSeq and is a predicted model, not a curated record.
UGCUAUUGGCUGGAGUUGAAGCUACGGCACGCGAUCGUCAUCCGUAACCUUUGACGUUGGAGCAGCAGUAGCCAGCUGUUACAAAUCGCGUCACUUCUCGCCAGCUGAUCGGAGACGCCGGCCGAGUGGGAGACGCCGAGAAAAGAACCCGGGUUAUCUUUUUUUACCCCACCAGCGAGGCAGGCGAGUACUCCGGACUGUGGAAGAUGGAUCCAGUGUGUAACUCUUGGCUAACCUACAUCAGUUCUUCUCUGGCAAACUUUAUGUUCCUAUUCACAUGCUAAAGCUGCCAGCUGAAGAGCUGUUGUGGUCAGCUUUGACCUACUCCUACUUUCCAGAAAUUUCUGUUUAAAAAAAAAAAAAAAAGAAAAA